RNAcentral lists this long non-coding RNA (478 nucleotides) under Homo sapiens (human). RNAcentral describes it as "HSALNT0183386". Lineage: Eukaryota; Metazoa; Chordata; Mammalia; Primates; Hominidae. The record is from RNAcentral.
AUUGAAACAACAGACAUUCAUUCUCUCCCAGCUCUGAAAUCUAGAAGGCUGAAAUAAGCUAUCGGCAAGGCUGUAUUCCCUCAGAAGUCUCUGGGAAGGAAUUCUUUCUUGCCUCUUCCUAAAUUCCUGUGUUCGCCAGCAAUCCUUGGAAUUCCUUGACUUGCAGUUUCAUCACUUCACUUUCUGCUUCUGCCUUCUUCACCUGCCCGUCUUGCCUGAACUGUAUUCAUUUCCAGAUCUCCCUCUCCCUACAAGGACAACAAUCAUUGUAUAUAGGGUCCACCCUUAUCAAGUAUAAACUCAUCUUAACUUAUUACAUCUACAAAGGCCCUAUUCCUGAAGAAGGUUGCGUUCACAGACUCCCAAAUCUCUUUUAUUGGGGGUAAUGGGCCUCUCGGGGGUCUUCACUGCACAGCUUGUUCAUUGGCACUGCUUCCCGACUCCUGGGGCUUCAUCACGUCGAGCAGCUCGGGCGGGC